This is a long non-coding RNA of Pyrus x bretschneideri (Chinese white pear), 2021 nucleotides long. RefSeq lists it as uncharacterized. NCBI's taxonomy places the organism in Eukaryota, Viridiplantae, Streptophyta, Magnoliopsida, Rosales, Rosaceae. The record is from RefSeq and is a predicted model, not a curated record. The transcript has 3 exons.
UUUCUUUUCACCCAGCUCAUUUCCAUCUUCUCUCAGCCGCAGGCGCCUGUCCUCUCUCAACCGCGACUCUCGUCACAAUUACGGAUAGAAGAGGGGAGUGGAGGAGGACUGGAGGAAGCAGAGCUCAGACUGUGAGUUGGGUUUUGCUCAGAUUUCUUGCUUGUGCAUCACGUAUGCUUCUUCUAGCUGCUCUAUUCUCUCUCUCUCUCUCUCUCUCUCUCUCUCUCUCUCUCUUUCUGUACUUUUGGAAUGGUUUUUCAGUGUUUUGCGCUUGAAUCUCAGAUUUGCAUUGCUUGUUCUGUAGUGGGUUGUAUUUUGUUUUCCCAUUAAAUUUGAAAUGGGAGGAAUAAUUAGCUGGUUUGCUCAAUUGUAGAAGACAAAGUUUGCCAAAGUAAUGUUCUUGCAGAAAGAUUUUUUUAAUAGUUUUGAGUUUCUGGCGUUUAUGGGAAACUGCUGGUCUGCUUUUAGGGAUUUGGUUAGCUGAAUGCGAUGAUAUUUGCAAAGAUUGGGAGAAAAAUGAUGGAUUCCUUAAAUGGGGUUCUUUUAGAUUUCGAUUUGGGUGUGCUCAAAAGUGUGAGAUUUUUUAGCUAUUCACAUUGCUUCUAUUAGGGGCUCAUUGCGUAUUCAGGUCAACUUCCAUUCCCUGGUAUAUGUGACAACAAAAUGGAUAUUAAACACCUGAAGCUAUUGCAAAGGAACUUUGAACUACAAUUUGUGUUGUGUAAAUUAUGUUAUCACUCUAUCAACAACGGGGAGAAAAGUUAGAGGAUUGUUUUAAUUUACCAAGUUCAUGUGGAGAAAGUCCUCAAUCUUAGUAUUAGCAAAUAACCUAUUAGUCGAAGGGAAAUAAGAUAACCAGUAAGUAAAUUUUUGUGACUGAUUGUGUUCUGUAAUGUUAAUUUAUUUCAGUUUGCAGAUAUGUUUAUUAACUUGUUCAUUGAAGUCCUCCAUGAAAUUUUUUUUCUUCAUUAUUUUGUGUAGACUAAUGGCUCAUCUAAGUUUGUCCACAAAGAAGAAAUUACAUGCUGUGUUGAAUGUGUUGAUUGUCUAUCUUCGAACUAUAUUUGUUGCAUGUGCUACUUCUUGUUUCUAUUCUUGGUAUCGUUUCCAAAAGUGCCUUAGAAGUCCCUCACCUUGUCAAACAGUUAUAAGAGUUUACAAGCAAUUAGAAUACUUACAUGGUUUAAUUUAUGAGAGUGAUGUGACAUGUAUUGUUGAACUACAAAUGGAUAGACGAUCCUUUCAUAGAUUAUGUCAAGUUCUUGUGACUAGAGGACAACUACGAGCUACUCGAAAUGUGUCUAUAGAGGAGAUGGUUGCAUUUUUUUCAAUACAUUCUUGCACACCAAUCGCACAAUUAACCACCACUUUAGAAGGUUUGGUUGAACAAUUAGUAAGUAUUUCCAUGAGUGUAUUAAAGCAAUGAUUCGAUGCCAAAAGGAUUUCUGGCAAACACUUGAGCCUAUCCCUGAGAACUCAAUCGACACAAAGUGGAACUGGUUUAAGGUAUGUAGUAUCUACAUGCCUACACUACUCAGUAAUUACUAGCUUUUUAUUUCAUAGUUUAGUUUGUUAAUUUAGUGUCCUAUAUACUGUGGAAUUGCUUAGGUGCACUAGAUGGAACACUUGUUAAGGUGCAUGUACCAGAAUGUGAUAAACCAAAGUACAGAACAAGGAAAAAUGAAAUAGCAAUGAAUGUUUUGGGAGUUUGCACUCCAGACAUGCUGUUUAUAUAUGUUUUACCAGGAUGGGAAGAGUUUGUACAUGAUGGUCGAGUUCUUAGAGAUGCUGUGACUAGGAGAAAUGGAUUGAAAAUACCUAAUGGUUGUUACUAUUUAGUUGAUGGUGGCUACACAAACGGAAAAGGUUUUCUUGCACCUUAUAGACGAACCCGUUAUCAUCUGAAUGAGUGGAGAGAUGGUUAUCGUCCUACGACACCAGUUGAGUUUUUUAAUAUGAAACACUCAAGUGCUCAGAAUGUCAUUUUAAUUCCUCCUCAAUCCAAUUCAUCCUCAAUUCAA